UUUGAGGUGAUGAUCCUUUCCCCAACUUAUCGACUAUGAUUAUACUGUGCGAUUUUCGAGUCCUCUUCGGAGACUCUAAGCCAGAUGUUCUGAUCAAA
This 98-nucleotide small nucleolar RNA is filed under the name Dichanthelium oligosanthes. RNAcentral's name for it is "Small nucleolar RNA Z103". It matches the Rfam family "Small nucleolar RNA Z103". Rfam says of the family: This family consists of several snoRNA Z103 sequences which are members of the C/D class of snoRNA which contain the C (UGAUGA) and D (CUGA) box motifs. Lineage: Eukaryota; Viridiplantae; Streptophyta; Magnoliopsida; Poales; Poaceae. The record is from Rfam by way of RNAcentral.